AUGAACGCUGGCGGCGCGCCUAAUACAUGCAAGUCGAGCGAGAAGACGUAGCAAUACGUUUGUAAAGCGGCGAACGGGUGAGGAAUACAUGGGUAACCUACCCUCGAGUGGGGAAUAACUAGCCGAAAGGUUAGCUAAUACCGCGUACGCUCCUUGGACUUCGGUUCAGGGAGGAAAGCGAUACCGUGGGUAUCGCGCUCUUGGUUGGGCUCAUGUCCUAUCAGCUUGUUGGUGAGGAAUGGCUCACCAAGGCUUCGAUCUGUAGCUGGUCUGAGAGGACGGCCAGCCACACUGGCACUGACACACGGGCCAGACUCCUACGGGAGGCAGCAGUGGGGAAUUUUGGGCAAUGGGCGAAAGCCUGACCCAGCAACGCCGCGUGAGGGAGGAAAUCCUCGGGAUGUAAACCUCACAAGCAAGGGAAGAGAGCUACGGGCU
Molecule: ribosomal RNA, 438 nt
Filed under: uncultured bacterium
Lineage: Bacteria
Description: bacterial SSU rRNA
Rfam family: Bacterial small subunit ribosomal RNA
Source: RNAcentral